GGAAGGUGGUCAUCACAUUCCUCCUGUCUGAAUGGCCCAGAGCCACCAGUAGUUUCUGCUGAUGGAAAGCCACAGGAGCUCGGUAAAUAAGAACUUGUGCUGGAACUUCUUUCCUUUACACUCACAGAGUAUCUUGCAUAUGAAAUUAAGGAGGAACGGGAGUUUGCGGCAGUGUUUCUGAGCUGUUACAGGACUGAGGUCACAGACGUGGAAUUGGAAGUAAAAGUGAAGAUGCUUUCCUGGAUUUUCUCUGUCCAAGAAAGAUAGAAAAUGCAGUGUGUCACCUGGGUUGUACUGUCUGUGUCAGCCUCUGCCCUGGUCAUACAAGGCCUCUAUUACAAUGAGUAGAAAGGGGAAAUUAUUUUAGGCUGUGGUUCGUCUCCUC
Molecule: long non-coding RNA, 385 nt
Filed under: Gallus gallus (chicken)
Lineage: Eukaryota; Metazoa; Chordata; Aves; Galliformes; Phasianidae
Source: RNAcentral